This is a long non-coding RNA of Pteropus alecto (black flying fox), 3080 nucleotides long. RefSeq lists it as uncharacterized. The transcript has 2 exons. The record is from RefSeq and is a predicted model, not a curated record. NCBI's taxonomy places the organism in Eukaryota, Metazoa, Chordata, Mammalia, Chiroptera, Pteropodidae.
UCCCGGGCGGCCGUGGCACCACGUAGCCGCGCUGCCGCCUCCUUCCACCGCUCUCCGCUCCGCCCGCUCCCUUUCUCCCCGCCCCUUCUCUGGUCGCCCGGAGCGCCUGCGACCCCCGAGCGCCUGCAGCCAGACGGUUGGGGAAGACGACAGGCGGAAGGGAGGGGGAGGGCACCCGGGAGCACGCCGAUUGAAAGCAGCCUGGCAGAGUGACCGCGAUUGAUGAGCAAGAGGUCCCUCCCCGCCACCCGCACCAGCAGACAGCUUCUGGAGGAACGCGGGGGGAGAGGUUCGCUCCGGGGCAAGAAAGCUGGUGUGGCUCCAGCCCAUCCUCCCCACCUGCCGGAAAUGAGCUUCAUCCUAGAAAUGGGGAUGAAGAAGGAAAAAUGGUCCAAAGGAGUCCUGACCCCAAUACGACCCUCCGCUAGGAUCUGCUGCAACAGCGCAAACCCAGACAGCAGAAGCCCCCGCGAGACGGAGUAGUGCUGAAGAAACAACUGAUUCCUAAUUCUUGAGGAAUCCAGAAGGAGUACCAGGACGGUCAUCUGGGGAAUCCGAAUGGGGUUUAUAGAUCAUGAACCAUCAAGUGUUUGAUCUCUGGGGAAGGAUAGAACGCGUGGCUGGACAUUGUUUUAGAGCCUCUCUGAGAAAAUGUUGCGUCUCCGCCCUUCUGGACACUUUCAUAGGUGCUAGCAAGCAGGUGACAGACAGGAUUUCAUGCAAGAAGAAUGAACAACCACCAAGACAGUGUGUACAUCUAUGGGUUUGUUUGUUUGUUUGUUUCUAAGGCUUCAAAAAGCUAGAAAGAAAGAUGAAAUCAGGAAAAUUUUCCAGCACCACCCCCUGUAGCCUGGUACUGGGCAAAGAAAUCUACUUGUUUCCUAAGCACCCCAGGUGAUGCUUAAUUACACUUAAGUUUGAGAACUUUUGGCAAAGGGUUCCCCUACUUAGCCACCUCUCUUCUUUCUCAAAACUGGCUAGCCGGUUGACAAAAUGCAGUCCAGCUUUGGUGGGGCAAGACAACACUUUUUCUUGCAAUAAAUCAGACUUUUGAGAUAGCUUUGGCCUUGAGAGCAAUUGAGGCUACACUGAGGUCAUAGGUAGGAGCCAGGGUACCCACAAAGAUGAGAGAGCCAGGAGAUCCUACCUGUUCAACACCACAGAACUGUGACACUGGCUAACUUUGGAUGAAAUAACCAGCCUUUUGAAUGAAAUAAUCCUUUCUCCCUCAAAAGUGCCCUCCAUCCACCAAAAACACACAGCAUACUACCACCAAUCUGGUAGGCUUCAUUGGUAAGGUCUGCAUGCAGCAGCAUAUUCCAUAUUAAUAGGAAAGCACUAACAAGCUUUACCUAAGCUUAUUCAUGCUAUAUUGUAAUUCUUCCUAUAUAUAAAUAGAACAGUUCCUGCAGAUUCCUGAAUAAGUCAGUGGAAAGGUCUGUCUUAAACUGAUAUGACACAUCUAGAAAAGGACUAGAAAUUAGGUCUAGUCUAUGACUGAGAUGAUCCCUAAGCAGGAUUAUUCAUCUUUGAAAUAAAAAUUAACAGAGAAAGGAAAGUUCAGAUAACUCAUUGGUAAAUUGGAGGUGGGUGGGAGGGGGAAACUAGUCAAAUUCUUAUUUCAUAUAUCAAAAGUAAGUUCUAGGAGGAUUAAUGAGUUAAAUAUAUCUUCUAAAGCAAACUGGAAGAAAAUAGAAUAUUUGUUAAACCUCUAGCUAGAAGUAUUUCUCAAUUUAGAAGCAAUGGAAGGAAAUGAUCAAUGUAUGACUUGGUAAUAUCUUAAAACAUCUUUGUGUCAAACAUUUUUUUAUAAAACAACCUAAACCAGAAAAAAUAUUGACAGCAAACAUUUUUAAGUCUGAAUAUCUAUGUUAUAAGUAAGACAAUACAGCUAAAGUAAGUAUAGUCUCGAUGAUUAAGCAUAAACAGAAAAUAAGCCAUAUACAAAGAAAUUGAAUACUAAUAAAUAUAUGGUGAAAAUUAACCUUACUAGUAACUAGUAAAAUAGACAUUAAAGAUAAAGAUGUAAAGAUCAUGAACACUGUUUUGCUCAUACACUGAUGGUGUUAUGAUAUCCUCCAUUUGGAAAGCAUUUUAGCUGUUUGUCGCAGAUCAGAGUGCUCCUGCAUUUUGACUCGGCAGUCCCACUUCUGGGAAUCUAGCCAAAGAAAUACUCCAAAAGAGGGGGAAAGUUAUAUACUGCAAGUUGUACAUCAUAGCAUUAUUUAUAUUGAAGACUUGGCCACAACUUAUAGAUCCUAGAGUAGGGGCUAUACCCAGUUCCUUGUAGCCACCUGGAUUACAGUGUCGCUCCCUGUUUCUCUGCUUUUGCAAAUGUCAUUCCUAGUCUCCCCCUGAAGCCCUCUCCCUGCCCUUUGUGAGCUGCCUCCUCUUUCUUAUCUUCAACACUUUGAUCUGCAUUUUUUCUGACUCCCUCUUUUGUUCCCUUAACACCUACAUUCUUCCAUGUCAGCACCUGGAGACUACCUGUAAUUACUUGUUUACCUGCCCUUCUCCUCCACGAUGCUAUGACUUUUUCAAGGGUGUGGUCCAUCACCUUUUAAUCUUAGAAUCAUUAGUGCCUUGCUAAUGUGGUAGGUACUCAAUAAAUAUUUAUUAAAGGAAUGGAUGAAUCAUUUACUUAGACCUUUUGCAGACAUUAAGGAUGAUGAUUAUAGAGUAUGUGGCAAUGCGUGAAUAUAUUAUAAUAUUAAAUUUUAAAGUCACUAUGUACGGAAUUAUCUCCAAGUGAUAUUAAAGGUUAAAUGAAAAAAUCGAGGUACAAAACAGAGUGCACAGUAGGCUGCCAUUUUGUAAAAAAAAAGCAUAUUGGCAAGGGAGAGUGGAAAAUUUAUAUAUACACAUAUUUCCUUGUUAAUGGGUAAACUAUGUAUAGAAGGAAAGAAAAGAAACUGGUAGCAGUUGUUGAGGUUGGGGAUGGGUUGGGGCAGAAUGGAAGACUAAAAAAGAUGAAUGGGAAGAACUGCUUUAUUUUUUAAUAUACCCUUUUGUUUGUUUACAUAAUUUGUACCGUGUACAUGAUAUACCCAUUUUGAAAAAUAAAUCGUUCUACAAAAUUG